Molecule: ribosomal RNA, 164 nt
Filed under: Peniophora sp. 1 MH-2017
Lineage: Eukaryota; Fungi; Basidiomycota; Agaricomycetes; Russulales; Peniophoraceae
Also listed under: 1 other name
Description: 5.8S ribosomal RNA
Rfam family: 5.8S ribosomal RNA
About the family: 5.8S ribosomal RNA (5.8S rRNA) is a component of the large subunit of the eukaryotic ribosome. It is transcribed by RNA polymerase I as part of the 45S precursor that also contains 18S and 28S rRNA.
Source: RNAcentral
CAACUUUCAACAACGGAUCUCUUGGCUCUCGCAUCGAUGAAGAACGCAGCGAAAUGCGAUAAGUAAUGUGAAUUGCAGAAUUCAGUGAAUCAUCGAAUCUUUGAACGCACCUUGCGCCCCUUGGCAUUCCGAGGGGCACGCCUGUUUGAGUGUCGUGAACUCCU